GAUGAAGAACGUAGCGAAAUGCGAUAAGUAAUGUGAAUUGCAGAAUUCAGUGAAUCAUCGAAUCUUUGAACGCACAUUGCGCCCGCUAGUACUCUGGCGGGCAUGCCUGUCCGAGCGUCAUUUCAACCCUCAAGCCCCCGGGCUUGGUGUUGGGGAUCGGCGAGCCUCCGCGCCCGCCGUCCCCUAAAUCUAGUGGCGGUCUCGCUGUAGCUUCCUCUGCGUAGUAGCACACCUCGCACUGGGAAACAGCGCGGCCACGCCGUUAAACCCCCAACUUCUGAACGUUUGACCUCGGAUCAGGUAGGAAUACCCGCUGAACUUAAGCAUAUCAAUAAGCGGAGGA
RNAcentral lists this unclassified non-coding RNA (343 nucleotides) under soil metagenome. RNAcentral describes it as "partial contains 5.8S ribosomal RNA, internal transcribed spacer 2, and large subunit ribosomal RNA". The stretch from base 1 to 120 matches the Rfam family "5.8S ribosomal RNA", at positions 35 to 154 of the family's 154-position model. The record is from RNAcentral.